GGGCGUUAAGUUGCAGGGUAUAGACCCGAAACCCGGUGAUCUAGCCAUGGGCAGGUUGAAGGUUGGGUAACACUAACUGGAGGACCGAACCGACUAAUGUUGAAAAAUUAGCGGAUGACCUGUGGCUGGGGGUGAAAGGCCAAUCAAACCGGGAGAUAGCUGGUUCUCCCCGAAAGCUAUUUAGGUAGCGCCUCGUGAAUUCAUCUCCGGGGGUAGAGCACUGUUUCGGCUAGGGGGCCAUCCCGGCUUACCAACCCGAUGCAAACUGCGAAUACCGGAGAAUGUUAUCACGGGAGACACACGGCGGGUGCUAACGUCCGUCGUGAAGAGGGAAACAACCCAGACCGCCAGCUAAGGUCCCAAAGUCAUGGUUAAGUGGGAAACGAUGUGGGAAGGCCCAGACAGCCAGGAUGUUGGCUUAGAAGCAGCCAUCAUUUAAAGAAAGCGUAAUAGCUCACUGGUCGAGUCGGCCUGCGCGGAAGAUGUAACGGGGCUAAACCAUGCACCGAAGCUGCGGCAGCGACGCUGAUGCGUUGUUGGGUAGGGGAGCGUUCUGUAAGCCUGCGAAGGUGACCUGUGAGGGUUGCUGGAGGUAUCAGAAGUGCGAAUGCUGACAUAAGUAACGAU
Molecule: ribosomal RNA, 627 nt
Filed under: Salmonella enterica subsp. enterica serovar Heidelberg
Lineage: Bacteria; Pseudomonadati; Pseudomonadota; Gammaproteobacteria; Enterobacterales; Enterobacteriaceae
Description: bacterial LSU rRNA
Rfam family: Bacterial large subunit ribosomal RNA
Source: RNAcentral